This 253-nucleotide ribosomal RNA is filed under the name uncultured bacterium. RNAcentral describes it as "partial 16S ribosomal RNA". It matches the Rfam family "Bacterial small subunit ribosomal RNA", at positions 524 to 776 of the family's 1533-position model. The record is from RNAcentral.
UACAGAGGGCUCAAGCGUUGUUCGGAUUCAUUGGGCGUAAAGGGUGUGUAGGUGGCGCCGUAAGUCGGGUGUGAAAUUUCGGAGCUUAACUCCGAAACUGCAUUCGAUACUGCCGUGCUUGAGGACUGGAGAGGAGACUGGAAUUUACGGUGUAGCGGUGAAAUGCGUAGAUAUCGUAAGGAAGACCAGUGGCGAAGGCGGGUCUCUGGACAGUUCCUGACGCUGAGGCACGAAGGCCAGGGGAGCAAACGGG